RNAcentral lists this long non-coding RNA (1946 nucleotides) under Scleropages formosus (Asian bonytongue). RNAcentral's name for it is "lncRNA (ENSSFOG00015027343.1)". Lineage: Eukaryota; Metazoa; Chordata; Actinopteri; Osteoglossiformes; Osteoglossidae. The record is from RNAcentral.
AUGAGAGCGCGAACGACGGACGGAGUGUCAGUGUGUCCGGAGCUGGGGCUCUGUGGGUCAUCGCGAGGGUCCGAGGCGGCGCUCAGUGCCCGAUGUGGGAAGGUGGAGGUCGCUGAGAUCUGCAUGCGUUCGGGUCGGGACGCCGCGUGGGGGAGGGGAGUGGAGAGGGGGGGGGGGGGUGGAAAUGUAAGAGGAAUGGAAGAGUGUGUGAUCACACCGAACAACGACACCUUAAAGAGACACGAGCCGCGCGAGGGAAAACACUCAGCGAGCUCAGCGACGAAAGUGGCGCCACGCUCCGCUCGUGGCUCUGCGCGAGUUUCGCGGGGGCGAGCAGUGGACGGGACGGCACGGCACGGGAGCGCGCGGCGCCACGACCCCGAGAGAGAGAGAGCGAGAGCGCGAGAAAGAGAGAGAGACCCGAAGACUGACUCACGCGUGGACAGUGAGUGUGGCGGUCACGCGUGGACACGUCGGAGGGUCCGGCGGCUCGAGGUCACUGUGUUCCCUUGCGGCCAGGUUAGGGGGGAAAAAACGUCCCCACCGAUCUGUGUCACGUUUCUUCAUCACUCACACACCUGAGGCUGAUGUGAGCAGAGCAUCUCUCCGUCCGGAAGCCCCUCCCCCGACCCGACUGACCUCCCCGGGUGCAAGCAGACCGACGCGGAUCCGCGAGCCCAUCCCAAACGCACCAGUCACGAGAGGGAAGCAGCGAAGUUUAUGUUGGACGUACGGACAUGGUGCGGAAAGAGGAGCACGUGCUCUCGUCUCAUCACCCCUGUGGGUUCUCGCAUCUCCCAGGAGGUCCAAAGGAGCGCGCAGUCACACACACACACACACACACACACACACACGCGUGUGCGCGUACCGCCUGCUGCACCGCGGGCCGAGAUGAGGAUAAAACGGGAAAUUGUUGCUCCGUGUCGGUAAGUCGGGUCUGUCAAGCUUUGGUGCUUCGGACAGAUUCACCGGCUCACAAUUAAUAUUAAUGUGUAGAUUUCGCAAUGCGGCCUUAUCACACAUUAUCACACAUUAUCGCGGGGAGAGAUGGGCGCGCGUGCCGUCUGGGCUCCGUGAGGCAUUACACACAAUCACAGGGAUUACCGAGCCGGGGGCCAAAUUGCACACCUUUUUAUACACAACGCCGCGACCGGUGUGUGUGUGUGUGUGUGUGUGUGUGUGUGUGUGUGUGUGUUUCCAGGAAACGUCCCGGGUUCGUCACCAUGACCUCUGUUAGCGGGCUCUCGCGCGCGGCCCCGCUUUGCGGCUUGCGGGCGGCUCGCGCGCGGACGGCAGCUCGUGUUUUAUGGGCGCAGAGCUCUUGUCGUUGUUAAUUUGACAUUAAACGGUUGUUAUGAUGAUGGAUGAGGGUCUGCGAUAGCACACAGGGGACGUCGAACGACGUUAAACUCCUUUAUUUCACUACAACAACAAUUAAGACCCACCCUCGUCGGCGCGUGCGCGGAGAGCCGAACGUAAAGAAAAAAACAGCGCGAAACCACCAGCACGUGCGGGUCCCAGGCCAGGGUGUGUGCGUGUGUGUGUGUGUGUGGAGAUGACGAGCUUGAUGAGUUCAAAAAAUGUUCACAUGAUGUGAUGUGGACCUGUGGAGUGUUCCUGUCUGAUACAGCGCGCGCGCACACGCACGCACACACACACACACACACACACACACACACUCCCGUGCCUUCACUUCAUCGCCUCGUCGCUCCUGCCCGAGACCCCUUCGAACCCAUGACCACGCGGAAGGGUUUUAUUUCGCUACCUUCCGUACCUAAUGUUUUACUGCACGGAUCGCGUCCCGACACGGUAAACUUGCACUUUUAACACACACUGCGGAAAGAGCGCUAAAAUGGACACUUUGUGUCACAUUUCCGUGUACAUUUAUUCAAGAGGUCUUUGAUUGAACAAAUAAAUGCACAUAACACACACCUUGACCGUGAGCG